This 2651-nucleotide long non-coding RNA is filed under the name Chlamydomonas reinhardtii. RNAcentral describes it as "long non-coding RNA (CREI_LNC001010)". The record is from RNAcentral. Lineage: Eukaryota; Viridiplantae; Chlorophyta; Chlorophyceae; Chlamydomonadales; Chlamydomonadaceae.
CAUUGUUGUAUGCUGUUUAACCCGGGUUACCCUAUGCCGGCGAUGCUGCCUGUGAGCAGUUGAUAAGCAGUGCCUAACCUGCGGUGGCACGUCGUCGCAUGCGGUUUGCACAGGCGCUGCUUUGGCUUGUGGGGGCUGUCGGUGGAGGCGCUGCUGCCCGAGGUGACGGUGCCGGUGCCUGAGGUCCUGCGCAGCCGCAGCGAGUGGUGCACCACCUACCUGGAUGAGGACAUGCGGGUGGGGCGCGGCAGCGGCGGCGCGCUGUUCCUGUUCCGGCGCGGCGGCGCGGACGACGUCACCGAGGCGGCGGGCGCCAUGGGCGGCAGCCUGGGUGCGGGCUCCGGCAUGGGCAUGGGCUUGGGCGUGGGCUUGGGCGCGGUGGCUGCGGAUGCCCGCGCGCCGGUGAUGCGGCCGCUGUGAGGCGCGUGGGAGGAGGGGCGGGUGGCAGGAGGGAAGUGGAGCCUGGCGGCCGGCGCCGCGGGUGUGUAGCGGUGUGCCCGUGUGUGUGCGGGUGCGUGUACGUGUACGUGUACGUGUACGUGUACGUGUACGUGUACGUGUACGUGUACGUGUACGUGUGUGUGUGUGUGUGUGUGUGUGUGUACAUGUGUGUGUGUCUACAUGUGUGUGUACAUGUGUGUGUACAUGUGUGUGUACAUGUGUGUACCUGUGUGUACAUGUGUGUACAUGUGUGUGUGUGUGUUGAGGUGGGCAUGGUGUGGCUGUGUGGGCGAGGAGGAGCACAGCGCUUCCAUCCGGCACUUGUGAGACAUGUCACAAUUUAUCAUCAUUUUAUCGCGGCAGGCAGUCCUAUGCAUGAGCAAUUCAUGGCGGUGCGCAUGGCGUGGAAUGGAGUGAAUUGAUGUUGUCAGGGGGCUGGUUGCAAUGGCCGAUACCGGUACCUGUGGUCCUGUGCGUCUCUGCGUGUCCUGUACAGUGUAUUCCCCCAAAUGGAUAGGGAGGGCAUGGUUGCAGGCCUGGCCAGAUCAGGUGUCUGGGUUUUAUCCCUCGCCUGCGUGUGCGUGCUUGUAUCUAACUGUACCACUUNNNNNNNNNNNNNNNNNNNNNNNNNNNNNNNNNNNNNNNNNNNNNNNNNNNNNNNNNNNNNNNNNNNNNNNNNNNNNNNNNNNNNNNNNNNNNNNNNNNNACGCGGACACUGGCCUCAGCAGUUCUGGACGACGCCCCGCGCGGUUUCCCCUCCACGCCCCUCCCGCACAGACCACCGCUGACCGCGUCGGGGAGUGUUACGCCGCGCUAGAGCGCAAGGCGCAACUAUACGAGAAACUAGGUAGGCGCUGCGACUGCUGCAGCCGUGCGCCGUGAACAAUGCCACACGGCACCACUGCCAUCCCUACCCCGCCAUUCCACCACGGCCACGUUGCACACCCCUCGCCGUCGAUGUAUGCGGACUCGCACAGGCUGUCCAGCUCGCCAUCUUCCACACGGCUACCAUAUGCCUGUACAAACUCCCUCGACCCUUUGCCAGCCCUAUCUACCCAUUGAUCGCUGUGCUUCUGCUCGACCGCUGUUCCGCUGCUGUUGCUGCUGCUGCUGCUACUGCUGCUGCUGCCGCAGCUCGCGGCGAGUUGGACGACGAGGGCGAGCAGUACGAGGUGGACUUCCUGCGCAAGGGCGGGGCGGCGGAGGAGGAGGCGGGUGGAGGCGAGGGCCGGCGCGGCGGCGACCUGGUGGACACCAUGCUGCAGGCAGUGUCGGGGACAGGUGAGGCGGGGGCGGAUGGGGGCAAGGAGUCCACGGGCCUUGUAGUCGGACUGCCCGAGCCGCCACCCUGACGGAGAGGGUCAACAAGUGUGUGCUGCGGCUGACCUGUCGGCAGAGCGUGUUGCUGCUGUUCGGCGCUCGGCCCGCUGGAUCUCACCACCCUCAGCCCCCGCCGCUGCUCGGCUGCAACCAUUGAGGCAGGACAGCAAGGGUUUAGGCAGGGUAGUAUGGACUGAGGCAGGGUAAUGCGGACUGGGCAAGGCAACCACCCGACACAUAGCGUGUCCCGGUCUAUUGUAUUCUUCUCUUGUGCGGAGACCGCACGUCUGAACCGCUCCUACUCCGCGCUGCACUUGCGCUCCUGACCACCUCCUGGCCACCUGUCGGCAUGCGGCCCCGCACACAGGCGGCAUGAUGACUGCGGACAUGGCGCGGGAACGGGAGCGGCGCGACUGGGAGCGGGACCAGCAGCGCAUCAUGGCGGACGAGGAGGCGGAGGAGCGGAGGCGGAAGCAGAAAGAGGUGCGUCCAACACAAGCGGAGGUCGGGGACCAAUGGCACCAUUGUUGUAUGCUGUUUAACCCGGGUUACCCUAUGCCGGCGAUGCUGCCUGUGAGCAGUUGAUAAGCAGUGCCUAACCUGCGGUGGCACGUCGUCGCAUGCGGUUUGCACAGGCGCUGCUUUGGCUUGUGGGGGCUGUCGGUGGAGGCGCUGCUGCCCGAGGUGACGGUGCCGGUGCCUGAGGUCCUGCGCAGCCGCAGCGAGUGGUGCACCACCUACCUGGAUGAGGACAUGCGGGUGGGGCGCGGCAGCGGCGGCGCGCUGUUCCUGUUCCGGCGCGGCGGCGCGGACGACGUCACCGAGGCGGCGGGCGCCAUGGGCGGCAGCCUGGGUGCGGGCUCCGGCAUGGGCAUGGGCUUGGGCGUGGG